RNAcentral lists this unclassified non-coding RNA (250 nucleotides) under plant metagenome. Its description in RNAcentral is "partial contains small subunit ribosomal RNA, internal transcribed spacer 1, and 5.8S ribosomal RNA". The record is from RNAcentral.
GUAGGUGAACCUGCGGAAGGAUCAUUAACACGUAUCCACGUUUUAACUAAAACUUAUCAACAUUUACAACGAACUGUGCUCCCUAUUGACCCAAUCUCUUAGCUGUUCGAUUCUGAUUAUAAUGGCUCUAUCCGUGUCUGUCAAAAGUAAUCGGUGUGAGAUGUCUGGUUGAACUAUCACUCCUCUGAGAGUGUGGCUAGGUAAACGGGACUCAAUAGGCUUACUAACUCUAACUGCCCGUGGCGCUCAG